Long non-coding RNA from Helianthus annuus (common sunflower), 3207 nucleotides. RefSeq lists it as uncharacterized. The record is from RefSeq and is a predicted model, not a curated record. NCBI's taxonomy places the organism in Eukaryota, Viridiplantae, Streptophyta, Magnoliopsida, Asterales, Asteraceae. The transcript is spliced from 5 exons.
AUAGUGUUUUCUCAUUCUAGAGCAUUGUUAUUGGCAGAGUUGGACGGUUGUUCAUAUCUCUUUCUUUCCCCAACCUCAUAUUUUCCAUCAGAAUACCACCUGCUUCACCGACUUUCCUCCACCGCCUGCUUUCCACCUCCCACCAGAUCAACAGGUUUUUCUCUUUCUCAUGAAAACCCUCUGGUUAGAUCCAGCAGCGACGCAACAUGAACAGACCAGAUCAACAAAGCCUUGAGAUGUUAGGGUUUGGUAUGGGAUUAUGACGGCUAGAACUCGGUUGAUUUCGACAAAUUCCGGUUAGCUCCGGUGAGAACCGGGUGACCUGAACCAGGGCCUUGGCGGUGGCCAGGUGCAUUUCGGCGCCUGGUUUGCCUUUCUGCUUCAACUCUUGGUUUUCUCACGCCAGGGUUUGACACCUAUUCAACAUCACAUGUUCAUCGUCUUAUCCCGUUGUUUAUACGAGGGAUUAGGAUUUUGAACUUUAACCCCUGCAUUCGGUGGGUUUUGCUUCUUCUCCGGCGAGAAUUCCGACGAUUAUAGUUGAGCAUCGUUUGAUGCCUGUGUUUUUUUAUGCAUGUUUGUCUCCGACUGAUCUUUUGUUGGUCAUAGUAGACGCCUAUGUUUUGGUUGUCGCUGGUGGCUUUGUAAAUCGUCGUGUGUACCACUCUAAAAGGUAGUUCAGGAGGUGAUGAUUCAAAUGGUGGUGACGCCAUGGUUUUAUAACUGGCGGUGGUGGUGUUUCUGACCAGUCACCCUCUAACUGUGGCUAGGGUUUCGCCGUGAUGUAUUUUGCGGCUACUCUGGUGACGAUGAUGGUACAACAAUGGUUACCUGAGUCUCUUUGGUUUUGGUGCUUACGCUGCUACUAUGGUGGCGGUAGUGGCGAUACCUAUGGUGGUGGUUGUCAUUGUUCUGGUAAUAGUGUUUUUCUGUAAAUUUGUUUAUAGGCUGUGAUGAUCGGGAAAAAAACGGGACAGCAAAGAUCGGAGUCGUACCUUGGCGGGGCAAUAUCCAAAUGGCAUAGUUGAUAUUUACUGUGACUAUGCAACUGUGAAUUUGCAGCCAUGGCUUAACCCAGAUCUAUUUUGUUCCAAUUCCACAAUUACAUAUCUGAGCCUAUUCGUUUUGUUUCCAUUUAUUGUGUCAUACACCUUUUUUGAGAAGUUGAUAAAAAAUCUUAUUCCUAAACUAUCAAAACAGAUGGUAUUAAUAGUUUCUUUGUGUAUCAAAUUAACCUCAUAAUAGAUAAAAAUUAAUGAAUGUUAUGCUAUUGUUUCGCUAUUGACUGACUGUAGUUCUUUUGAAUUUCAGCUUUGUAGACGCGGUUUAGCGUCCAGUAUUUUGGUUCUUGGGUUGGCAUGCGUGUACAUAUACUCUUUAUGACUUAUAAAGUUUUCUUUUUUUGCAGUUUUCGAUUUAGUAGCUAUAGCUAUAGUGUUGAAACUUUGAAAUUCGUUGAUAACCCAGUGACCCAUUUAGACGCGCAUAAAAGUGAACUCCUUUCGACCCAAUCCUUUAACUUUCUAAUAAUGUUUAUUAGAAAUCUUGAAUUGCCGGGAGGUUGAGGCAGGUUUAAUGGAGUACAAGCCAAACAUUAUCAUUAGUGCUAUGUCCUUCAGAAGAGGUGUCAAAGUCUAGAACCAAACCAAGUAUGCGUUUUUGAAUUGUCUGUUCGGCCCUCUUUUGCCUGUGCUGUUCUCAACAAGGGAAAUACAAGUGGACAACAUAUUUGGUCAGCACUCAGCAUGAUGAAUGAGUUCACAAAGCGUUUGUGUAUGCGGGAUGUGGAUGUUUGCUUUGUAGAAUGACUUACGAGUAGAGCUAGAAUUGGAUCCGAUACUACCUGCCGUUUGUUAAUGGGAAGUGAAUUAAGUCAACUUUCCCAGCUGCAUCCCGUGGGCCAGAGUUGAAGCGUACGCAAGCAGGUCAGUAACCAAACUACCCAUUUCGAUUGAGGUGCAAAAAAGGUCAGUAGGGUUAACGGGCCUGGUUGGGUUUGAAACUGAAGAUCCUUAAAUGUAGGUUUUUUAAAGCAUAGUCCUUUUAAAUAUAAUUGCCAGGGGUGAAAUGGUGCUAGCAGGUCAGUAACCAAACUUGCCAUUUCACUAGCGAUGCAAAAAUGGGCGGUCCCAAGGGGUAUUAUCGGGUUGGGUUUCAUACUAAAAAAUUCUUAAAUCUAGGUUUUUAAUGCUUAAUUCCUUUUUAAUAUGAUCUCUAUAAAUGAAAUGGAUGCAAGCAACUAACCAAACUUAAUACUUCACUAGAGGUGCAAAAAUGGAUCGUCCCUAGGGGUCUUAACAGGUCGGGUCAGGUUUCACACUCACGAUCCUUAAAUUUAUGUUUUAAGGUAUAAUUCUUUUUAAUACAAUUGCUUGGAUGCAAGUGGGUUGGUAACCCAACCAAACAUUUCACUAGAGGUUUAAAUAUGGAUGGUCCCUAGAGGUCUAAACGGGUCGGGUAGGAUUUCAAACUAAAGAUCGUUAAAUCUAUGUUCUUAAAGCAUAAUCUUCUUUAAUACAAUUGCUGGAAGUGAAAUGGAUGCAAGUGAGUCAUUAACCAAACUUCUCAUUUCACUAGAUGCACAAAGAAUGAAUGGUCCGGGGUAUUUCCGGACCGGGUUGGAGCAAGUUUGAAACUUAAGAUAUUUAAAUAUUGGUUUUUACAUCAUAAUCCCUUACUAAAGCACAUUCCUUUUUAACCAUAAUCAUGUUAUUUAACAGUCAGGAAGGUAAUGUAGAUCAUCGACUUCAUUAAAUAAAAUGGAUUGUUUAUCGAAAAAUAGUGAUUUUAUUGUUACCAGAUGUUAUCAUCUAUCAUUAACCUUUUUAUAUGCUUUAGACUUUUUAUAUGCUUUAGACGAGAUUCGUAUUGAGAGCUUAGUUCAUAUUAUACCUAACAAAGCUAGCAACACAUUGAGCAUCAUUGAUGGUGGAGGUGGAACGCCAAGGCUGGUGAACAAUCUUGGUACCGUUACAAGAUUUGUCCCUGGGAUUUCAUGGAAGCUAUUGUUGGUGGUGCUAAUGUUGUCUCCAUGGCGAAUUACCUUCAAAGAGUUUCAAAGAGUUUGAAGGAAGUAACAACUCUUUAGGUUCCACUACAAUAGUUAAAAUUUGUGAACCAUGUUGUCUCCAUGGCGAAUUCCCUGGUUACCAAUUAUUUUUUUUCUCCGAAAAGUAUAUUUUUAUCUUCGUCUCGAUAUAUUUUAUC